AUACGUAGGGGGCGAGCGUUAUCCGGAAUUAUUGGGCGUAAAGAGUGCGUAGGUGGUUUUGUAAGCGCGGGGUGAAAGGCUAUGGCUCAACCAUAGUAAGCCUUGCGAACUGUGAGACUUGAGUGCAGGAGAGGAAAGCGGAAUUCCUAGUGUAGCGGUGAAAUGCGUAGAUAUCGGGAGGAACAUCGGUGGCGAAGGCGGGUAACUGGACUGCAACUGACGCUGAGGCGCGAAAGUGUGGGGAGC
Molecule: ribosomal RNA, 246 nt
Filed under: uncultured bacterium
Lineage: Bacteria
Description: partial 16S ribosomal RNA
Rfam family: Bacterial small subunit ribosomal RNA
Source: RNAcentral